GACGAACGCUGGCGGCGUGCUUAACACAUGCAAGUCGAACGGGCCCGCCCCUGUUUUUGGGGGUGGGUUGAGUGGCGAACGGGUGAGUAUCCCGUGAGUAACCUGCCCCCUGCUCCUGGAUAACUGCUUGAAAGGGCGGCUAAUACGGGGUGUGCCGGCUGGUCCGCAUGGGCCUGGUCGGGAUAGUUUCAUCUUCGGGUGUUUCGGUGGGGGAUGGGCUCGCGGCCUAUCAGCUUGGUGGUGGGGUGAUGGCCCACCAAGGCGGUGACGGGGAGCCGGCCUGAGAGGGUGCGCGGCCACACUGGGACUGGGACACGGCCCAGACUCCUGCGGGAGGCAGCAGUGGGGGGGAUUGCACAAGGGGCGGAAGCCGGAUGCAGCGACGUCGCGUGAGGGAUGGAGGGCGUCGGGUUGUGAACCUCUUUCUCCGGUGGUGAAGGCCCUGUCCGUUGCGGCGGGGUUGACGGUAGCCGGGUAUGAAGCGCCGGCUAACUACGUG
This 499-nucleotide ribosomal RNA is filed under the name uncultured bacterium. RNAcentral describes it as "partial 16S ribosomal RNA". It matches the Rfam family "Bacterial small subunit ribosomal RNA", at positions 28 to 507 of the family's 1533-position model. The record is from RNAcentral.